UCAUCUUCGGGGGUAGAGCACUGUUUCGGCUAGGGGGUCAUCCCGACUUACCAACCCGAUGCAAACUACGAAUACCGAAGAAUGUUAUCACGGGAGACACACGGCGGGUGCUAACGUCCGUCGUGAAGAGGGAAACAACCCAGACCGCCAGCUAAGGUCCCAAAGUCAUGGUUAAGUGGGAAACGAUGUGGGAAGGCACAGACAGCCAGGAUGUUGGCUUAGAAGCAGCCAUCAUUUAAAGAAAGCGUAAUAGCUCACUGGUCGAGUCGGCCUGCGCGGAAGAUGUAACGGGGCUAAACCAUGCACCGAAGCUGCGGCAGCGACACUAUGUGUUGUUGGGUAGGGGAGCGUUCUGUAAGCCUGCGAAGGUGUGCUGUGAGGCAUGCUGGAGGUAUCAGAAGUGCGAAUGCUGACAUAAGUAACGAUAAAGCGGGUGAAAAGCCCGCUCGCCGGAAGACCAAGGGUUCCUGUCCAACGUUAAUCGGGGCAGGGUGAGUCGACCCCUAAGGCGAGGCCGAAAGGCGUAGUCGAUGGGAAACAGGUUAAUAUUCCUGUACUUGGUGUUACUGCGAAGGGGGGACGGAGAAGGCUAUGUUAGCCGGGCGACGGUUGUCCCGGUUUAAGCAUGUAGGCUGGUUGUCCAGGCAAAUCCGGAUAAUCAAGGCUGAGGUGUGAUGACGAGGCACUACGGUGCUGAAGUAACAAAUGCCCUGCUUCCAGGAAAAGCCUCUAAGCAUCAGGUAACAUCAAAUCGUACCCCAAACCG
This 766-nucleotide ribosomal RNA is filed under the name Klebsiella pneumoniae. Its description in RNAcentral is "partial 23S ribosomal RNA". It matches the Rfam family "Bacterial large subunit ribosomal RNA", at positions 890 to 1656 of the family's 2925-position model. Lineage: Bacteria; Pseudomonadati; Pseudomonadota; Gammaproteobacteria; Enterobacterales; Enterobacteriaceae. The record is from RNAcentral.